Molecule: ribosomal RNA, 530 nt
Filed under: uncultured microorganism
Description: bacterial SSU rRNA
Rfam family: Bacterial small subunit ribosomal RNA
Source: RNAcentral
GAGUUUGAUCGUGGCUCAGGAUGAACGCUGGCGGCGUGCCUAAUACAUGCAAGUCGAACGAACAGAUAAGGAGCUUGCUCCUUUGACGUUAGCGGCGGACGGGUGAGUAACACGUGGGUAACCUACCUAUAAGACUGGAAUAACUCCGGGAAACCGGGGCUAAUGCCGGAUAACAUGUUGAACCGCAUGGUUCUACAGUGAAAGACGGUCUUGCUGUCACUUAUAGAUGGACCCGCGCCGUAUUAGCUAGUUGGUGGGGUAACGGCCUACCAAGGCGACGAUACGUAGCCGACCUGAGAGGGUGAUCGGCCACACUGGAACUGAGACACGGUCCAGACUCCUACGGGAGGCAGCAGUAGGGAAUCUUCCGCAAUGGGCGAAAGCCUGACGGAGCAACGCCGCGUGAGUGAUGAAGGUCUUCGGAUCGUAAAGCUCUGUUGUUAGGGAAGAACAAAUGUGUAAGUAACUGUGCAUAUCUUGACGGUACCUAACCAGAAAGCCACGGCUAACUACGUGCCAGCAGCCGCGGU